UGCAUCCUACGGGGGGCAGCAGUGGGGAAUAUUGCACAAUGGGGGGAACCCUGAUGCAGCGACGCCGCGUGAGUGAAGAAGUAUUUCGGUAUGUAAAGCUCUAGCAGCAGGGAAGAAGAUGACGGUACCUGACUAAGAAGCCCCGGAUAACUACGUGCCAGCAGCCGCGGGAAUACGUAGGGGGCAAGCGUUAUCCGGAUUUACUGGGUGUAAAGGGAGCGUAGACGGCAGGGCAAGUCUGGAGUGAAAGCCCGGGGCCCAACCCCGGGACUGCUUUGGAAACUGCCAUGCUGGAGUGCUGGAGG
Molecule: ribosomal RNA, 305 nt
Filed under: uncultured bacterium
Lineage: Bacteria
Description: bacterial SSU rRNA
Rfam family: Bacterial small subunit ribosomal RNA
Source: RNAcentral